Molecule: long non-coding RNA, 234 nt
Filed under: Elaeis guineensis (African oil palm)
Lineage: Eukaryota; Viridiplantae; Streptophyta; Magnoliopsida; Arecales; Arecaceae
Description: long non-coding RNA (EGUI_LNC063399)
Source: RNAcentral
CGCAGCAUCCUUGGUAGCGAGAACUGAGCCUUCAACUGGGGCAGGCUCGGGUAGGACAGACUCAUCCUCAUCCGACGAAAAUGCACCAACCUUGUCAUCACUAUUCUCGAGGCAAAGACGGCUUAGAUCUAGCUUGGGAACCAUCCGAUAAAGACAUGCCUUGCAAGCAUGAGAGCCAUAUAUGUAGGCAAUCAGGAAGGCUUCGACGACUUCUUUCUCAAACUCCGCCAAGGC